Molecule: ribosomal RNA, 497 nt
Filed under: uncultured bacterium
Lineage: Bacteria
Description: partial 16S ribosomal RNA
Rfam family: Bacterial small subunit ribosomal RNA
Source: RNAcentral
GAUGAACGCUGGCGGCGUGCCUAAUACAUGCAAGUCGAGCGAACAGACGAGGAGCUUGCUCCUCUGACGUUAGCGGCGGACGGGUGAGUAACACGUGGAUAACCUACCUAUAAGACUGGGAUAACUUCGUGAAACCGGAGCUAAUACCGGAUAAUAUAUUGAACCGCAUGGUUCAAUAGUGAAAGACGGUUUUGCUGUCACUUCUAGAUGUAUCCGCGCCGCAUUAGCUAGUUGGUAAGGUAACGGCUUACCAAGGCAACGAUGCGUAGCCGACCUGAGAGGGGGAUCGGCCACACUGGAACUGAGACACGGUCCAGACUCCUACGGGAGGCAGCAGUAGGGAAUCUGCCGCAAUGGGCGAAAGCCUGACGGAGCAACGCCGCGUGAGUGAUGAAGGUCUUCGGAUCGUAAAAAUCUGUUAUGAGGGAAGAACAAAUGUGUAAGUAAAUAUGCACGUAUUGACGGUACCUAAACAGAAAGCCACGGCUAACUACGUG